UACGAGGAGUCCGAGCGUUAUCCGGAUUUAUUGGGCGUAAAGGGUGCGUAGGAGGUUUUGUGCGUCUAUUGUGAAAUUUCACUGCUCAACGGUGAAUCUGCGAUGGAUACGGCAAGACUAGAGGAUACUAGAGGUGAGCAGAACGCACGGUGUAGGGGUGAAAUCCGUUGAUAUCGUGCGGAAUACCAAAGGCGAAGGCAGCUCACUGGGGUACUCCUGACUCUGAAGCACGAAAGCGUGGGGAGCAAAAAGG
This 253-nucleotide ribosomal RNA is filed under the name uncultured bacterium. RNAcentral's name for it is "partial 16S ribosomal RNA". It matches the Rfam family "Bacterial small subunit ribosomal RNA", at positions 524 to 776 of the family's 1533-position model. The record is from RNAcentral.